RNAcentral lists this ribosomal RNA (482 nucleotides) under Pontastacus leptodactylus (narrow-clawed crayfish). Its description in RNAcentral is "Astacus leptodactylus (narrow-clawed crayfish) partial large subunit ribosomal RNA". It matches the Rfam family "Bacterial large subunit ribosomal RNA", at positions 1857 to 2602 of the family's 2925-position model. The record is from RNAcentral. Lineage: Eukaryota; Metazoa; Arthropoda; Malacostraca; Decapoda; Astacidae.
ACCUGCCCAUUGGAAUCUAAAAGGCCGCGGUAUUAUGACCGUGCUAAGGUAGCAUAAUCAUUAGUCUUUUAAUUGGAGGCUGGUAUGAAUGGUUGGACAAGAAAUAAGCUGUCUUAAAUAAAAAUAUUGAAUUUAACUUUUAAGUGAAAAGGCUUAAAUUUUCUAAGGGGACGAUAAGACCCUAUAAAACUUUAUAUUUUAAAAUAAUAAUUAAUUUUUAUAUAGAAGAUUUAUUUUUAAAUAUUUUAUUGGGGUGAUAAAGAUAAAAUGUGAGAUAACUGUCUUUUUUUUUUACAAUUAAUAUUUGAGUAAAAGAUCUUAACAAAGGAAAUAAGAGAUUAAGUUACUUUAGGGAUAACAGCGUAAUUUUCUUUAAGAGUUCUUAUCGACAAGAAAGUUUGCGACCUCGAUGUUGAAUUAAAAGUUCUUUAUAGAGUAGAUACUAUAAUAGAGGGUCUGUUCGACCCUUAAAAUUUUACGUG